Molecule: ribosomal RNA, 460 nt
Filed under: uncultured bacterium
Lineage: Bacteria
Description: partial 16S ribosomal RNA
Rfam family: Bacterial small subunit ribosomal RNA
Source: RNAcentral
CCUACGGGCGGCAGCAGUGAGGAAUAUUGGUCAAUGGACGAGAGUCUGAACCAGCCAAGUAGCGUGAAGGAUGACUGCCCUAUGGGUUGUAAACUUCUUUUAUAAAGGAAUAAAACGCGGCACGUGUGCCUUUUUGCAUGUACUUUAUGAAUAAGGAUCGACUAACUCCGUGCCAGCAGCCGCGGUAAUACGGAGGAUCCGAGCGUUACCCGGCUUUCUUGGGUUUAAAGGGAGCGUAGAUGGGUUGUUAAGUCAGUGGUGAAAGUUUGCGGCGCAACCGUAAAAUUGCAAUUGAUACUGGCAGUCUUGAGUACAGUAGGGGUAGGCGGAAUUCGUGGUGUAGCGGUGAAAUGCUUAGAUAUCACGAAGAACCCCGAUUGCGAAGGCAGCUUACUAAACUGUGACUGACAUUGAUGCUCGAAAGUGUGGGUAUCAAACAGGAUUAGAUACCCCUGUAGUC